GUGAAUCAUCGAAUCUUUGAACGCAAAUUGCGCUUCCUGGUAUCCCAGGAAGCAUGCCUGUUUGAGGGUCAGUAUUAAUAAAAAAUCGGUUUAGUUAUAAAUUGUGACGUUUCGGGAGUGUGGGCUAUCUUAAUAUUUUUGGUACAGAGGCUUAACUUUGACCUUUAUGUGCAUUUUUAAACGUACAUAAAUUUUUUUUAUUCGUAUAUUUUUA
Molecule: unclassified non-coding RNA, 214 nt
Filed under: Glomeromycetes sp.
Lineage: Eukaryota; Fungi; Glomeromycota; Glomeromycetes
Description: partial contains 5.8S ribosomal RNA and internal transcribed spacer 2
Rfam family: 5.8S ribosomal RNA (bases 1-71)
Source: RNAcentral